Molecule: transfer RNA, 72 nt
Filed under: Camelus bactrianus (Bactrian camel)
Lineage: Eukaryota; Metazoa; Chordata; Mammalia; Artiodactyla; Camelidae
Also listed under: 2 other names
Rfam family: tRNA
About the family: Transfer RNA (tRNA) molecules are approximately 80 nucleotides in length. Their secondary structure includes four short double-helical elements and three loops (D, anti-codon, and T loops).
Source: Rfam by way of RNAcentral
AAGGGUAUAGCUCAGUGGUACAGUGCUUGCUUAGCAUGCAUGUGGUCCUGGGUUCAAUACCCAGUACCUCCA